This 583-nucleotide unclassified non-coding RNA is filed under the name Hevea brasiliensis (rubber tree). Lineage: Eukaryota; Viridiplantae; Streptophyta; Magnoliopsida; Malpighiales; Euphorbiaceae. The record is from RNAcentral.
GGUGGAAAGGUUUUUUGGGAGGCAGGGCAGUGAAAGAACAAGGUAUAAAAUAUAAACUAAGUGAAGAAUUUCAUGUUCAAUCACGAUACAUUGCAAUAACUUAUGACAUUCUAUUGCUAUAUAAUCUUGAAAUCGAUACUACAUUGUUGCUUCCCUAAAAUUAUUUGUAAAGAAAAGAAAUGCAUACCUUUUUUCUCCUUAUGAAGAAUUGGGCUACUGGCAAACUGAAAGUACAACCACAAAAACAACUGUAGUAUGGUUAAAAAUGGAAGCCCUUCUCUAAUUUAUUCUAUUCAUCCUCUACCUGAUCAUAAUGAUGACCGUUUCAGCUGAAUCAGUCAUCAGGUGAAUAUCAGAUCAUUGCCAGCAACAAACCGCUUUAAAACUUUUAAAUAAAAUAUGAUGACUGAAUUUUCAGAGAUGGAGCAAAUAUCCAAAGAAGGUCCUCAAAACCAUUUAAGUUUCAAGAUUUUCCACAUUCUAGCCAUUUUGAAGUUGCAAAAUGGUACUUGUAUUGAAGUAUUAAGAAAUUAAAGUGGGCAUAUCCAAAUGCAAAAUUCUAUCCUUUUUGUUUGCUCUUCUG